This 466-nucleotide ribosomal RNA is filed under the name uncultured bacterium. RNAcentral's name for it is "partial 16S ribosomal RNA". It matches the Rfam family "Bacterial small subunit ribosomal RNA", at positions 28 to 507 of the family's 1533-position model. The record is from RNAcentral.
GACGAACGCUGGCGGCGCGCCUAACACAUGCCAGUCGAACGAGCGAGAGAGAGCUUGCUUUCUCACGCGAGUGGCGGACGGGUGAGUAACGCGUGAGGAACCUGCCUCAAAGCGGGGUACAACAGUUGGAAACGACUGCUAAUACCGCAUAAGCCCACGACCCGGCAUCGGGGCGAGGGAAAAGGAGCAAUCCGCUAUCAGAUUGCCGCGCGUCCGAUUAGCUAGUUGGUGAGGUAACGGCCCACCAAGGCGACGAUCGGUAGCCGGACUGAGAGGUUGAACGGGCACAGUGGGACUGAGACACGGACCAGACUCCUACGGGAGGCAGCAGUGGGGAAUAUUGCACAAUGGGGGAAAGCCUGAUGAAGCGACGCCGCGUGGAGGAAGAAGGUCUUCGGAUUGUAAAAUCCUGUUGUUGAGGAAGAUAAUGCCGGUACUCAAAAAGGAAGGGACGGCUAACUACGUG